This 117-nucleotide ribosomal RNA is filed under the name Dactylosporangium roseum. The record is from RNAcentral. Lineage: Bacteria; Bacillati; Actinomycetota; Actinomycetes; Micromonosporales; Micromonosporaceae.
UACGGUGGCCAUAGCGGAGGGGAAACGCCCGGUCCCAUUCCGAACCCGGAAGCUAAGCCCUCCAGCGCCGAUGGUACUGCACCCGUGAGAGUGUGGGAGAGUAGGACGCCGCCGGAC